Molecule: ribosomal RNA, 512 nt
Filed under: uncultured bacterium
Lineage: Bacteria
Description: partial 16S ribosomal RNA
Rfam family: Bacterial small subunit ribosomal RNA
Source: RNAcentral
GAUGAACGCUGGCGGCGUGCCUAAUACAUGCAAGUCGAACGAAACUUCUUUAUCACCGAGUGCUUGCACUCACCGAUAAAGAGUUGAGUGGCGAACGGGUGAGUAACACGUGGGCAACCUGCCCAAAAGAGGGGGAAAACACUUGGAAACGGGUGUUAAUACCCCAUAACCUUAGUUACCCCUGGGAACCAUGGUAAAGGGUGGUAUUCUUACCGUUUUUGGUGGGGCCCGCGGCGCAUUAGCUAGUUGGUAGGGUAAAGGCUUACCAAGGCAAUGAUGCGUAGCCGAAUUGAGAGGUUGAUCGGCCACAUUGGGACUGAGACACGGCCCAAACUCCUACGGGAGGCAGCAGUAGGGAAUCUUCCACAAAGGGCGAAAGCCUGAUGGAGCAACGCCGCGUGGGUGAAGAAGGUCUUCGGAUCGUAAAACCCUGUUGUUAGAGAAGAAAGUGCGUGAGAGUAACUGUUCACGUUUCGACGGUAUCUAACCAGAAAGCCACGGCUAACUACGUG